RNAcentral lists this ribosomal RNA (440 nucleotides) under uncultured bacterium. RNAcentral's name for it is "partial 16S ribosomal RNA". It matches the Rfam family "Bacterial small subunit ribosomal RNA", at positions 338 to 795 of the family's 1533-position model. The record is from RNAcentral.
CCUACGGGUGGCAGCAGUAGGGAAUAUUGCUCAAUGGGGGAAACCCUGAAGCAGCAACGCCGCGUGGAGGAUGAAGGUUUUAGGAUUGUAAACUUCUUUUGUUAGAGAAGAUUAUGACGGUAUCUAACGAAUAAGCACCGGCUAACUCAGUGCCAGCAGCCGCGGUAAUACGGAGGGUGCAAGCGUUAAUCGGAAUCACUGGGCGUAAAGAGGUCGUAGGCGGGGUAAUAAGUCAGAUGUGAAAUCCUGUAGCUUAACUACAGAACUGCAUUUGAAACUGUUACUCUGGAGUGUGGGAGAGGUAGGUGGAAUUCUUGGUGUAGGGGUAAAAUGCGUAGAGAUCAAGAGGAAUACUCAUUGCGAAGGCGACCUGCUGGAACAUUACUGACGCUGAUGCACGAAAGCGUGGGGAGCAAACAGGAUUAGAUACCCGUGUAGUC